GUUCCGUUCGACUUCCGGUGAGGUCAUCACCCUUUCAAGGUGACAAGAUGGGUUCGACCCCCAUACGGAACGCCA
Molecule: transfer RNA, 75 nt
Filed under: Allobrachymonas sp.
Lineage: Bacteria; Pseudomonadati; Pseudomonadota; Betaproteobacteria; Burkholderiales; Comamonadaceae
Description: tRNA-Glu
Rfam family: tRNA
About the family: Transfer RNA (tRNA) molecules are approximately 80 nucleotides in length.
Source: RNAcentral